This 387-nucleotide ribosomal RNA is filed under the name Sphingomonas sp. DhA-33. RNAcentral's name for it is "SSU rRNA". It matches the Rfam family "Bacterial small subunit ribosomal RNA", at positions 30 to 445 of the family's 1533-position model. Lineage: Bacteria; Pseudomonadati; Pseudomonadota; Alphaproteobacteria; Sphingomonadales; Sphingomonadaceae. The record is from RNAcentral.
CGAACGCUGGCGGCAUGCCUAAUACAUGCAAGUCGAACGAUCACUUCGGUGGUAGUGGCGCACGGGUGCGUAACGCGUGGGAAUCUACCCUUGGGUUCGGAAUAACGUUUGGAAACGGACGCUAAUACCGGAUGAUGACGAAAGUCCAAAGAUUUAUCGCCCAAGGAUGAGCCCGCGUAGGAUUAGCUAGUUGGUGGGGUAAAGGCCCACCAAGGCGACGAUCCUUAGCUGGUCUGAGAGGAUGAUCAGCCACACUGGGACUGAGACACGGCCCAGACUCCUACGGGAGGCAGCAGUAGGGAAUAUUGGACAAUGGGGGCAACCCUGAUCCAGCAAUGCCGCGUGAGUGAUGAAGGCCUUAGGGUUGUAAAGCUCUUUUACCCGGGA